Obelidium mucronatum is the source of this 72-nucleotide non-coding RNA. NCBI's taxonomy places the organism in Eukaryota, Fungi, Chytridiomycota, Chytridiomycetes, Chytridiales, Chytriomycetaceae. The record is from the annotation of a GenBank genome assembly.
GCUCCGAUAGCUCAGUCGUUAGAGCACCACUCUGGAAUCGUGAAGGGGCGGGUUCAAUUCCCCCGCAGCGCA